RNAcentral lists this ribosomal RNA (361 nucleotides) under uncultured bacterium. RNAcentral's name for it is "bacterial SSU rRNA". It matches the Rfam family "Bacterial small subunit ribosomal RNA", at positions 29 to 393 of the family's 1533-position model. The record is from RNAcentral.
AUUGAACGCUGGCGGCAUGCCUUACACAUGCAAGUCGAACGGCAGCACGGGGGCAACCCUGGUGGCGAGUGGCGGACGGGUGAGUAAUGCAUCGGAACGUGCCCUGAAGUGGGGGAUAACGCAGCGAAAGCUACGCUAAUACCGCAUAUUCUGUGAGCAGGAAAGCAGGGGAUCGCAAGACCUUGCGCUUUGGGAGCGGCCGAUGUCGGAUUAGCUAGUUGGUGGGUAAAGGCCUACCAAGGCGACGAUCCGUAGCGGGUCUGAGAGGAUGAUCCGCCACACUGGGACUGAGACACGGCCCAGACUCCUACGGGAGGCAGCAGUGGGAAUUUUGGACAAUGGGCGAAAGCCUGAUCCAGCC